This is a long non-coding RNA of Myotis brandtii (Brandt's bat), 572 nucleotides long. RefSeq lists it as uncharacterized. The record is from RefSeq and is a predicted model, not a curated record. NCBI's taxonomy places the organism in Eukaryota, Metazoa, Chordata, Mammalia, Chiroptera, Vespertilionidae. The transcript has 2 exons.
UAGGGGCAGUCACUCGCGUUCGUGGUGCUAAGCUGUGUGUCGAUAUCCCAGGAGACACAGAGCCCGAGAGAAUCUGUUUCUAGAAAAAGUAGUUUGUUUUAGCAAAAGCAACUGUAUUUUCUUGCAAAGUGCCCAUGUUAAUGCUGUGGUAAAAGUUACUUUGUGCACGGGCUUAAUUCUUCUUAAUGUUGAAGGUCCUGAUGUCAUUAUUAUUUCUUAGACUGGGUAACCUUUUUGUCACCAAGAGGCAGAACACGUUGACUUUCUAAGACAAGUUAUGAAAUAUAGCAACAUACAGAAAAGUACAUGAAAUAACAUGACCAACCACCACAAGUCCUCAAGACAAAGGGAGCAUGGUAGAGGGGGAGAAGGACAGCCUCGCGGGCCAGACUGCCCAUAUGUUGGCGCCCGCAGAAGUACGGGAUCUGGAGCAAAUACGUCACCUCCAAAAGAAACCUGUCCCCAUCGAAAGUCACUGUUACCUGUUACCUCAGCCCUUGGCGACCACCGAUCUGCUGUGUCCCUGUGGGCUUUCCUAUUCUGGACAUUUCAUAUAAAUGGAAUUUAUAAUA